AGCUAGAUUCUGCUGUGGUCCAUAGUGUCUAACGGAACUGGAAUGGCUCCUUUCGUCAGCCUCGAUUAAUAGAAAUCGACAGCUUAUAGCUCGAGUGCAACCUGAGGAUUCUCAAGCAUGAUUUUCGCUCAGAUUAUGUAGCAUUCUUCCGAUGAGGGAGGGCGAAAAUCACAAAAAGGAUCAUACAUCUACGGACUGCCAAAGAGUAAUCGUGCUCGUAAAAAGUGAAACAGAGUGAAAAUAUACCUAGCACAAGGAUAUUUUCCGUCAAUAUGGAAGACACCCAGAAUAGCAUUCGUGGAUGACUGAGUUGCAUUGCAAAUGUAGCUGCAGUUUAGGAUGAAAUAAUGAAAUUUUCCUCAGUUUCUUGGGCGGCUGAUCAUAGGACAAUGUGGAGAAGUUUGGUGAACUCGCACUUGGAUGCGCGCUGAUGAUGGAAUCGUCUCGGAAUGGAGACGUGUGGUAGUGUUGCGUGGUGGGCUGUGUGUGAGUGUCAGUUGGUCGGUGGAGAAGAGAAAAGCUUUUGUGUGCAACCCGUGAAAAUUUUCUCGGUUUUUCACCAACAUACUUGACGCGAAGUUGAAAAGUGUCUCUAGAUAAGUGUCUUUUGCAGUGGAAAUUUUCUGAAAUGUGUGCAGGAUUUGCGAAAAUGUGAAAUUUCUCCACGCAAGGCUUGGAAUAUCGGUGGAAAAUACAGCAUUCGGCUACAGGAAAAUGCAAGAAGUUGGCAUGAAAAAUCGAGGGCCUAUCUUUACUCAUUGUAGCAUUAAAAGAUGGAGAGUGAAACAAGGAGUGUAUAUGCAAAAGCAUUUUAUUACAAAAAGUGAUUAAAAUCAUGACGAUUCAAACCAAACAGUUACCAAAAAUCGAGAGAUUCAUAUGUAAUUUGAGUGGAUACCGUCUGGAAAAAUUGUUUUUCGACAAUGGAAACUAGCCAGUGCAAUCGCUUUGGAGUGACGUUAUGAGCGAAAAUCCAGCUGUGCAAUGGAACUGAUAUCGAAGCUGUAUCCACCGUAGGGCACAAUGGCCACCAUGCCAUUUGUACGACCGAGGAGCUGCACCGUCGAGUUGUACCAGCGAAAUUUGUAAGCCUGUUCAUUCGUAACGAAGAACUAAUUCACCCUGAAUGUGUCCACUAGCGGAAAAAGUGAAAAUGUUUACCAAAAGCAACCGCGACAUUCGUUUCUCAAGUGUAGCCAAUGGUGAAGACAAUGACAACAACUGCAGCGAGUAUCAGUUCUCAAAAUGUGAAACUAAACUGAAAAAAUACAAAGUGACAAAUUCCGAUGCAUAUCCAUCGGGCGAAUGUGUGAUUAAUGACGAGAGUAAUCUAGUGAACAAUAGCAACAAUAGUGCACAUAGUCACGGAUACUUUCUAUAACGAUUGCUAUUUUAAGAAAGCAUAGGCGUAGUCGUGUUUUAGUGAGUUGUAUAUAGUGUGAAGAAGGGAAAAAUCUGAUUUGUGUAGGAAACCGCAAACAUCUGCGAAAGAAUAACGAAAUAGCAUUUAAGUCAUACUUACUAAUAGUGCUUCGUUUUUGGUUUUGCAAGAUAGUGCAGUGAAAACGGCGCAUUAAGUAACAACUAACGACAACAACUUGAACGCUACCGCAGAUUCUGCAGAUAUAAAUAGCUUAACUAUAUUUACUGAUAAGAUAACCAAGCUUCGAAAUACGUAGAACAUCGUAUUUCCUUACAACACUAGGAUAUUACCAAAAUGGCCGAUAUGCCUGAUUUAUCCCAUCUGACACAGGAGGAACGUGCAAUCAUUGAAAAUGUUAUGCUACGUCAACGACAGGAGGAAGAGCGGGAGAAUGAGAUCAUGCGGAGGAAGCAGGACGAGGUGGCGACGCUCGUCGAUUCGAUCAGACAAAAAUCGGAGCAGCAGAAAAAGGCCGGCGUCGAGCUUGACGCUACUUGUCACAUUUGUCUCAAAACCAAAUUUGCGGAUGGCAUCGGACACAUCUGCAAUUAUUGCAACAUCCGUUGUUGUGCCAAAUGCGGAGGCAAAGUUACACUGCGUAACAAUAAGGUGAUAUGGGUAUGCAUUGUCUGCCGGAAGAAGCAGGAAUUGCUUUCUAAAACUGGACAAUGGAUCAACAAAAGCACCAGCCCGGACGGGACAGGCCGCCGGUACGAGGGAGAUCCAAGAGCCUUUCAAACACUUGACCCGCACGAUCCCUCCGACAAACGACCAAAACUGGAACGAGCAAAAAGUGCUGCUGAAAAGGAAAAUAACCCUAUGCAGCGUUCCGGUAGUCAACUUAGGCGACAGUAUUCUCAGCAAGAUGCUCCACCGCGGCGGUUGUCACAAUCAGACAGCGGGGUAGACGUAUCGACUGGGCCACCCCAAACACGAUUGCCAAUGCCUCGGAUGAAUCCCCAGGAUGGCCAACAGCAAGGUCCCUAUAGCCAGUAUAUGCCCGGUCUUCCUCAGCCCCCGUUGCAACAGACAUCGUAUCACCCGUCUCAUAUGAAUCCUCAGGUGCAGAUCACACGACCCAGUGGUAACGUGGGGAUGAGUGGCUAUCCACAGGAAGAUCCUUCUUUCUAUCAGGAUGAGAUUGAAGAUCUAAUGCGUGCUCAUCCGCAUUUGGUUCAUCCUCGGCAGCAGCAACACUACGCGGAGUCAAUGCAAUCCGCGGCACCCAGUUAUGGCAGCGGAAGCAGCAGUGGGAUAGUGUUGCCACCAGAACCAAUCAAAAAACACAAACGCCCAACGGGUGGUCCUUAUCUUCCACAGCAACGAUCUUACAGCAGUUCCGACGAAGAUAUUCGAUCUACGCCGGAAUACGAAGCCGGGCACCAAAAACAGUAUUUUGAUAAUCACUCUCGACUGAAUCCAAGCCUAACCGACUACCGGGCGAGUAAGCUGGAUGUACAACAAAGAAAUAGCUAUAAUCGAACGAAUCACAAUCGGUACCAAAGUCAGCAGUCGCACUCGCAAGCUCAGCAGCCACUACCACAGGUAGUGGUUGCCGAUAGCACCAUUACUUCUUUGGCGUACGAUAACAAUAAUCAUCACCACAGUAGUAGCCAUCAUCAGCAUAGUCACCAGUCAGUGCCGCAAGCCCAUCAAGUUCAUAAUAGCCAACAUCAGUAUAUUCAGCAGAACAGUCGCUACAACUCGAGUUCUGCUGGCAAUGAACAGCCGGACCCGUACUGGGAUGAACCGGCUGACAGUCGACGGUUCACCGAGCGAAGAAAGAAAACGGUGAGAUUCGAUGGACAGGAUGCCGAUGCCGACUGGGGACGUUGGGAGUCGGAACGUCAGGGAAGUCAAGAUUCAACGACAAAGGAUUCAGGCAUCGAUACCAGUAGUACAUUUACUAGUAGUGAAGAUUCAAAUCGAGGCGAUGGUCCAAAGAAUCCUGUUAGUUGGCAAGUGUCAGCAGAUGGCAGCCGUAUGAUUGGUCAUAUGGUACUGCUAAGAAAUGUUGACAGCGAAGACGUUUUAGGACUGAAAGUACGCGGUGGUCAAGUUCUACCAAACGAAGAAAAGGGAGCAAUUAUUGAACAAGUACAACGAGGUUCGAUAGCAGACCAGGAAGGACACAUUAGGCCAGGUGAUGAAGUGGUGGAAUGGAAUGGUCACUCAUUGCGCGGUAAAUCCGCACUAGACGUAUACGAUAUAGUCGAUGCUAGUAAGCUGGAACCAUUGGUAGAAAUACUCGUAACACGUGCGAUUUCGAUAAAUCGCAAAAACACUCAAGCAUCUUGGCGAAAAUCUCAUUCCCCGACGCGAGUUCAAACUCAACACAGAGGAGAAAGCUACAACCGGCGAGACAAGCCAAGUGUACUGGUAACGUCCCCAGGUUCACCGGACUUGCAUAGCGUACGUAAUUAUUCCACCAACCUCCGCUACCCAAAUAGACUGACACCGGCUGCGACAGCUUCGCAGCAGGAAAAUAGCGUCGGAGGACGGGUUCAGUUGAAGUUAGGCUUUGAACCAAGUUCUCUGCAGCUAAUCGUGACGAUCGUGUGCGCAAACGGGCUGGUAUCAAGGCACAACGGCGCAGCACGGAAUCCUUACGCCAAAAUAUGUUUGCUUCCCGAUCGAAGUGAAAAAUCCAAAAGACGAACGAAAACGUUAGCUCUGACCAACGAUCCUCGUUGGGGUCAAACGUUUGUAUACGAGGGCCUCCGAAGAGCUGACCUUCAGAACCGUCUGUUUGAAAUCACCCUAUGGGAUUACGUGCGCUUCGGUGCCAACGAUUUUCUCGGUGAAGCGAUUAUCGAACUGGCCACGCAUCCCCUGGACGACGAACCAGAUUGGUACACACUGCAGCCGCAUCAGGAGUCCCUGCGAGAUGCAUUACGUAGAGACGAUAGAGAUCCUGGCAACGAACUGGAUAUGAUUUUAUCACCGACCGAUCAUUUAUCGCCACCGAGCACCACUUCAAGGUACACUGACUCCGACACGACUUCCGAAUGCGAUAUCGAUGGUCUGAUGACUGCACGUGAUGGCGCUAGCGUAUCAUCCGUAGGAUCAUCAAGUCCUCCACCAGAGGUUGAUCUACAAGAGCGAAGGUCACGGCGGGAUAUGUCACCGCAGGGACGCAAACGAGUGGCUGGCAUGGUAGCAAAGGAUUUUCGAACGGUGUCGGGCGUAGGGCAGGGCUUUCAUAAUCAAAUGACGAAUGAGGCAUCCGCUUCCUACCGUCGGAACGGCACGAUGGCACUGAACCAACGGAGUCAAUCUGCGGCACCGAGUGAUAGCUACCGAGAUGAUCGUCGGGAUUCCCUAUCGCCACAAGAUGAUAGAUAUACCGAAUAUCCAGUUCUUCCAUUACACCAGUAUGCGCCAAGAUUUCAAUCACGAUCAGCGACUGCGACACCAACUGGUUCACCGAAGAAACGACAAUUACCACAAGUACCUCACGUGUCACGAAAUGCAGCAAUGCGAGAGCGGUUCGGACAGGAAUUCGAGGAGCGCAGUGGAGGACGUUUUUCCCGGUACCGACACCGCCAAAGUCAUCAUCUGCCAACGUAUCGGAGUACGGGGAUGGGAGUCGAUUUUAAUUCAGGAUGGGAACAACGCUAUACCGGACUUUCCGACAGUGAUCUGCCGACACACUCAUUAGACAGUAGAAUUAGACCUAGACACUCGUUAUCUCCGGAUAAGGAAUUUAUGGGUGAUUUUGCCGAUUCCGAUAUGGAGUCGGUAGUUAGUGUAACUUCAAGUGCUUUUUCAACUCAGUCGGAGCGACCGCGUGCAUCAAAAGGGAUAAGGAAUGCGCAUGACAGGCGUCUUCAGCAUAGAAGUCUCCCAUCGGGUUGGGCGACGGCUUCCAUGUGCGCUCUUCCAAGCAAGUACCCAUUUGGGCAGCCAGUCAGCGAGGCGGAACAAAAUACAACACUUCCCGAUGUUACACAAUCUGGUCUAAGUCCUCCUAACCUCGAUGGUGUACCUGAUCAAGGCUUUGCCCCUCCUUGCGAGUACCUCCCAGUACUUACCGAGAUGCCCCCUAGGCUCCCUGUAAUUCCCACUACUAGUGUUGUUGUUCCCUCGGCUACUGAAGAUAAUAGGCUUGUUCCAAGUCCUGCUGUUUCAACCUUCGAACAAUUUCCUGUCCCUCAGCCUCCAAGUAAUAGCUAUUAUAGCAAGCAAUGCAUUACGCUUAAUCAAGAUAAAAGCACAUUUCAGAGCUUUGUUGUUAAUCCUGGUAACGAUAAUGUAAUGACCACUUCUUUGAAUCUUUCAAACAUGUCGUCGACAGAACCAUCCUCAGUAGAGCUGAAGACAGGAUCGCUUCCGUGUGGUAAUUAUUUGGAAUACGGUGCCAAUACGAUGGCUAUGUCAUUACAAGGCGAUUCUUUCUACAACAACCAAGUACCAGCUGAUUGUCUCCAAAGGCGACGACCUUCGUACAUUACUCGUUCAAACACAUCUGAACCUAGUUUAAACACUAUGAAUAUUGUCCGUCGCAUGUCCAGAGAUCCAACUAAUCAGCAAAAUGAAUCUAUUUGCAUUUCAAACCUGUACAGACCUGUAAAUAAUCAGCAAGUCACUCCAGCAACUAAUCAGAUAAUACUGAAAUCCUCAUUUUCGGAUCAGAAUAUGCCGAAUAGUUUUGUUUACGAACAAAACGACCAUCAGCCGGGAAAUAUUUGCAUCUCAAAUGUGUACGAUCCUAAUACGGGAGUUAAGAAUCAAACCAUCACAUGCAUUCGAAACAGUACUGAGAAUUUGGGUGAUAGUAAUAUUCGCUAUUCCAGUACCCAAGGUGGCAGGGUGUGUGAAUUUUCAGCUCCAGAUCUUCAAUUUCGCUCUUCAAUCGGAAGUCUUGCUGAUUUACAUCCUAUCCAUCCGUACACCAAUCCGGCGAUGGUUGCGUCUUUAAAUUCUAAAGGAAUUGUACCGACGGCCAGUGCUCGCGUGGAGGAUGAUUACUAUGUGAGUGAUUUAGAGAACGAUAUGGGCGUUGUGCUUGGAAAGCCCGCCGUAUUACCGAAAUUACCGAAUAAAACACCGUUCUAUGGACGUACUGAAAUAGGAUUCAAGGAGACCUAUUUGGGAAACACAGUGUCAACACAAAGAGAUCAAAUAAGUCGUUCUCAUUCACUAGCUGCUAGAGAUAAAAUAAUUGAUAUCGAUUAUGACUCGGAUACUGGGUAUAAGACAAAAAGCGUUCGAAAAAAUGUAUUUUCCAGCAGUAUUGAAGAGAAAAUUUAUCGAAAAAGAACCAGAUCGCUAGAUGAAAACGGAUUACAAGAUGAAAAAUAUGUCGACACCCACUCUGAUACGUUUGGAUCUAAAUCAAGUUUAGAUAAGAGCAAUAUGACGCUUGAUAUUAUUAAAAACACUGAUGUUGCGGGCGGUCAGAAGUCAGAACGAAAUCCGGAAAAAGCUGUUCAAAAUGUUAAGAAGAAGAAGCAAGAAAAGUCUCACGAGAGUAAGAAAAGCGAAGAGAAGAUAUCAAAAUCACUCGUGAAAUCCAAAUCUUCGGCCUCUCCUGCCAAGAAGAGCUCUAAAGUGUCAAAAAAGUCAUCUAGUUCAACUUCAUUGAAUCGCUCUGGAUCUGCCAAGUCGAAAGCCUCAUCUUCCAACGCAACUACUACGAAAACUACUAAAGCCGCAGCAAAGCCAAAAUUCAAAGAAAUCGAUCCCAAGGAAGUGAAAGCAUCCAAGGAGAAAACAGAUAGCAAAUCUAGAAUAGAUGAAAUCAAAGGUGAAACCGGCGUGCUGUAUAGCAGCUCUGAAUCAAUCAAAUCGAUCAUCGAAGAGGUGCGGCUCGAGUUGUUGCAGAAACCGAAAAAUAUGAAGUACUUGAGUGAUGAAAGCCCAACAUUUUUAAACCGAAGCCACUCAUUUAGUGAUGGAGAAAUUAAUCACAUUAGAAGAACGAAUGAACAGUACGAUAAAUAUGAAUUCAUAGAAGGUCGUAAACAUUACAUCAUAAAGGAGGAUAAAUUGAACCGUAGACUGGAUUUCGGAAAAUACGAACAAGAGAGAGCAGUAGGGUAUGAACCUGAACGUAUUCAUAGUAGUAACAGAAAAGUAGCAGGCUGCAAUAGGAACGAUCCGUCCAAAGAACUGUUCAGAAAAUGCCCAACACGAAGCUCAAGCGUGGUUUCCAAUGAUGAAAAUCGUCAAGAUGACAGUGAAGAGGAUUGUUCCGACGAUGAUGUGUUUGAAAGUCCCUUUUCUAGGGGAAGAAAUUCCUCUUUCAAUGGUAAAUCUUCAACUAGACGCAAGGCUCGAUUUAAUACCCGCCGAACUUCCAGUUUGGAAGACUUGAAGAAGUUCGUUUCUCAACACAAAGAUGGUAAUAGUAGCGGUAGUAAGAACGAUACCACUCGACACAGUUCAGUCAGUAUUAAUGAAAAGCCAGAGUACUUUGAAUAUAGUAAAUCUCCUUCACCCCGCACCAAGUAUAGUGCUAGAAAUGCUAAUAAUGCUUCCAUUCGUUCCAAAUCCUCCAAUGGUAUCGCCCUUCUACAAACCGAACCAAAACGAACCUCGUUGAAAAAACCAUCGUCGGGUGGCUCCCCUGCUUCAAAACCGUCUGCGUCAUCAACGCUUCCGAAAUCGUCACGAAAUUCGUCCCAUCACCAUAAAAGUGAUUACGAUAUGAGAGACCGGAGUCGGUACGGCCCUAACGGUGGACGAGGGGAUGCCUAUCGACAGCGUGAUCGUGACCGAAACAGUAGUGACCAUGAGCGGGACCGUCUGAGUGACGGUCGGCGAGAAUCGCGGGAGCGUGCUGAACUGGACCGUAGUCUUUCGAAUAACGAGGGAACGCCUGAGGAUAAAAUAGACGGUAGCUUAAGUGACACGGCCGUGAUACAAAGCUUGGACUCGCGGCGCAAGCUAGAUCAACGAUCGCCCAAGAGUGAGACCCCAACGAGGGACCGAGAUCGCUUCGGUACGGGUAUGGGAAAGAAAAGUAGCUCCACAUCGCAACUGUCGGCAACAGACCAAGGAAUAUCGCCAUCAUCUUCAUCGUCCACAUCGCAACGCAAGCGAUCCUCAGCCGGAUCGAUCCAACGAUCGGUCGAAGUGACACCGAUUCCACCACAGUCGGCGGCCUAUCGUGCCGGAAGUUUACAUUCAAUCUCUAGCUCCGAGGGCUCCUCGUGGUCACCAUCGCUGCGGAUGGCCGGCGAUACCGGACCUUUGUCGGACUUCAUCGAGGGUUUGGGACCAGGACAGCUUGUCGGACGCCAAGUACUGGGUGCUCCUGCCUUAGGUGAUAUUCAACUGUCUAUGUACUAUCAGAAGGGUUCCUUAGAAGUUGAAGUGAUAAGAGCGAGAGAUUUGCAGGCACGUCCUGGCUCAAAAGUACUUCCAGCGCCUUAUGUUAAAGUGUAUUUAGUUUCCGGUAAAAAGUGUAUAGAAAAAGCUAAAACAACGACUGCUAGGAAAACGUUAGAUCCAUUAUAUCAACAACAAUUACUGUUUAGAGAACCAUUUGCUGGCUGCAUACUACAAGUGACGGUAUGGGGUGAUUACGGACGAAUGGAAGGAAAAAAAGUGUUCAUGGGUGUAGCUCAAAUAAUGCUGGACAACCUAAACCUAUCACAUUUAGUCAUCGGAUGGUACAAACUAUUCGGAACCACAUCACUGGUCAGUGGACCACCUAGUUUGGGUCUAUCUAGGCGAUCCUCAAUUGCAUCACUCGAUUCACUUAAGCUGUAAAACUCAUUGACAUCACUAUGUUUAAUUUUCUCCUUCGGUAUUGUUUUGGUUUUCGACUUUUUUAGUUCAGAUCUGUAUCUCUUCUGUUUUCGGUUCGUACUAUGAGAUGGUUUGGUGUUGUUGUUUUUUGAUACGAACUGGAAUUUUGUCUAGCAGCAGUCAUCGUUUUCUCUGUAUAGUGAAAAGAAUCCGCAUUAGAUACUAUAACUCGUCAGCUGGAGCAUCAGUUUUGGCAUAGCGUUCUCUACAAGUUGUGAAUACCUUCUUUCUCGUCAAGUUUGUUUAAUAUAGCUCUAUGAUAGUUGACACUCUAGCUAAUAGUAUCUUUUCGAGCACGAUCUUCUCGAGUUGAAGCUUGAAACACCCUCAACUCCCCUACCAGGAUGCUACACACUUUUGCUGAUUUUCAACGGAUUGCGAGCGGGAUCAGCAAAGAUUGCACUUCGUAUUGUGAAACUAUCUAGGUUUGUGUGAUUCGUAUUUACAUACCACUUUUCUUAAUUUCAAACGUUUUAGUAUGUUUCGGUAUGUCAUUUUGCCAGAAUUCUCGCAGUACUUAAAUAUCAAGAAUCAAGUCAUAACAUGGAAUCAUCAUUUCACUUGCCAUCAGAUACCACAAGUUUUAAAUCCUGUUAAUGUUGAUUCCAUAUCAGAGAACCACGGCGCUCGCAUUCCUAACUUUGCAUCUGGUAGCUUACUUACUUUUCCAGGUGCAAUCCGUAAACGCGGCAUCUAAAUAUGCUCAAAGUACGACAUCCCGUUCGCUUUACCCAUACUCUAACAGUGCUAUUGGAUUUAUAGUCUUAUUUAGUUAACCUACCACACUGGAUCUUGGUUUAGAUCCCUCCUUCGAUUUCAACCCUACAAUUGUCGCUUCUUUUGAGUUUGUUAAAGUUUCGUUCAUUUCGAAUCCUGUCAUUAGUUAUAUUAUUUAAUAGAGGCAAUGUCGAAAGCACUUUUAAAAUAGUGUGUUUUGUCACAAUGCAUCAAAUACCUAAAAUUAGUCACACUUGAAUCCGAUCGCUGAACUAAGCGCUAGAGCGUAUGCAUUGAGAUUAUGAAAAAAGAACUAAAAAUGUUUUAGUUGAUCAUAGUAAAAAUAACCUUGACAAACCUCAGCAUAAGUUUCAUCGGCGUACCUACUAUCUGGUUUACAAAAUCCACAUCCUUAUUUUUCGU
Ochlerotatus camptorhynchus is the source of this 10321-nucleotide RNA transcript. It is a transcript of the gene named Rab3 interacting molecule, with no coding region annotated. Lineage: Eukaryota; Metazoa; Arthropoda; Insecta; Diptera; Culicidae. The transcript has 24 exons. The record is from RefSeq and is a predicted model, not a curated record.